Non-coding RNA from Schizosaccharomyces pombe (fission yeast), 232 nucleotides. The record is from the annotation of a GenBank genome assembly. NCBI's taxonomy places the organism in Eukaryota, Fungi, Ascomycota, Schizosaccharomycetes, Schizosaccharomycetales, Schizosaccharomycetaceae.
UGUUUGUCUUGCUACGUUUAACUUAUUUUUCUUUGAUUUUUUUCCUGCUUGUCCCAUUGUUUGUUUACCUCGCUCCCAAUUUUCCUCACCGGCAAUUGCUAAUUAAAAUCCAUAAAGUUAUCUAACCGAUCUAUUACGUUAGAUAUCUUAAUUUGGGUUUAACUUUCUUGCUGAAUAAUCUUCAACGCUACGCUAUUUUUCAGUGCUUAACAAAGUGAAAUUUUUUAUUCCU